GACAUGGCGGACGGCAGCGGCUGGCAGCCGCCGCGCCCCUGCGAGGCCUAUCGCGCCGAGUGGAAGCUCUGCCGCAGCGCCAGGCACUUCCUGCACCACUACUACGUCCACGGCGAGCGGCCGGCCUGCGAACAGUGGCGGCGCGACCUGGCCAGCUGCCGCGACUGGGAGAAGCGCCGGAGCGCCGAGGCCCAGCAUUCCCUCUGUGAGAGCGAACGGGCACGAGUCCAGGCUGCACGGAAGCACAUCCUGGUGUGGGCCCCGAGGCAGAGCCCCCCUCCAGACUGGCAUCUCCCUCUGCCGCAGGAGAAGGACGAGUGACAAGCACCCCUGCCAUUGGCCUGUGCAGCUUCCUUGGUCUGUUUCAAGUUGCUGUUGCAAAACCCUGGGGACUGUGACAGCCUACACAGUCUAGUGGGUCCCUGUGAGCUCUUGCUGGGUUUGGAACGUGGAGCAGGACAUUGCUGGUCCUACUUGCCCACCCCUCACCAGCCUGCAGGGUACCCUGACGCUGCGAUGUUCUGCAGGACAAUUGCACCGCUUCAGAGCUUCCAGGAGGCUAAGCAUUAUGGCCAGGUACCUGUGAGCAGCCAGGUCAGGCUGGGCACAGUAGCAUAGGAGAUGGCGGUCCUGAGGUCUAGGCUUCUCAGGUAAACUGAAGGGUAGCCCUGACCUGUAUGGACACACAGGUGGGUCAUAAUGAGGUAGCUAAACAGUUGCGCCACUGUGAAUGUCUUUCCUAGUCCUUGGGAAACUGCCUGCUAUGUCUCAGGUUUGGUGAACAUUGUGAGUACUCACACUCUGCUCCACUCAGUUCCACUGCACAUGCAGGCAGGUGUGCCGAGCAGGCAGGGCUUGCUGGCCCCUCUGCACCAGCAGGCUUCACUUGUUAGGCUCCCAGGUCAGCCCCUGGAGACUCUAGUUUUUAAGAAAUGCACACAGCUACAGAACACACAACGUUGCAUAAAGAGGGUUUGUGGACUCACCUUAAGAAAUCCAAGUCCAAGACAUGUGGAAUUAAGGACUCCUUCCCUCAAAAAAAUUUCCCCUGGUGGUUAAUGUAUCAAAAGCCAUUUCAUCUGAUUUCAAAUAGAAGCUGAAAAUUAAGUUUACAUUUGUUAGAUUUUAUAUAUAACAGUGUUGUCUGGACAGUGUUAGAAACUUGUAUGCUUAUUCUCUUGUAGGUGUUUUAAAAUGUAUGAACCACCAAAAACACUAUUUCUCGAAGCGGUCUCUUUAUUACUAAUAGAAUGGUUUCUCAUCCUGUGGUGGCCCUGUUAUGUGAUGCUGAGGGCUAGGCUGGGUCUGUACCCAGCACCCUCCCUGCUCUCUUCCUGGACACAGGCAGCAAGUUGAAUAUCUUUAAAUUUGUUCUUUGGGGUAGAACAAUCCAUCACUUCAGAAGGGUGUCCAUUAAAGAACAGUAUUUCCCUGCUUGAGUGUUUUCUCCUGUGCUCCCUAAGAGCCCCUGUCUGUGUCUGUGAACGGUGGGGGUGGGGGCUGUGUUCACAGGAUCCCAAGAGCAGGAGCAUCUACAGCGGAGCCAGCGUUCCCCCAUCAUCAGGGGAGUAUUGAUGUGUCUAAGGCAACCAAGGUGCCUCCAGCAUGGCUGUGGCUGGAUUAAUGAGCAUUUCCACCCAGUGAGGGAAAAGAAGAAGACUGCUAGAGAUCUACAAGGUUUUUCUUACUCUUAAACACAGGGAAGGGGCAUCUGAAUUUGCAGUCUGCUGUAAUCCCAGCCACUUUGGGAGGCCGAGGCGGGUGGAUCACUUGAGGUCAGAAGUUCGAAACCAACCUGGCCAACAUGGUGAAACUCCAUCUCUAUUAAAAAUACAAAACUUAGCUGGGCAUGGUGGCAUGCGCCUGUGAUCCCAGCUACUCAGGAAGCUAAGACACGAGAAUCGCUUGAACCCCAGAGGCAGAGGUUGCAGUGAGCUGAGAUCGUGCCACUGCACUCCAGCCUAGGCAACAGAGUAAGACUCCGUCUCAAAAAUAAAAUAAUAAAAUGAAUUGGCAGUCUGCAUGUGGUGCCUGGGAUUGCAGCAGCUGCCUUCAGGUUCAUGGGGCAGAGCUGGAGAGUGCAGCAAAAGCCAGGGCAUGCCAGCCAGCACCCCAGUCCAUGAGGGGCCUUCCCUCAGUGCAGCCAUGCUCCCUGCCACCUGCUUGUUUAGCAAGGUAUGCAGUGUGCGACUGCGUGCUCGGUUAGGAAGCAUUGAGUCCUGCCUCUGUAGUGCGACUGUCAUAUUUUGCCUCCUCCUUCACUACUCAAGUUCCACAUCAGCAGAUAAUCUCUCUGGACAGGAUGUUCCUGCAUUUGUUGCUAUGGCAAUUCCUUCACAACAUCUGAGUGUCCACAUGUUGGACAGGGUUUGGGGCUUACAAGACCACAGUUUCGAAACAGACAAGUUGUCUUCAAAGAGUUUCUGUUGUAGUUUGGGGAAAAGACAGACAUUAAACAUCAAUAAAUAGGGAUUUAAAAUGGUGGCUGGAUGUGGUGGCUUACGGCUGUUACCCCAGCACUUUGGGAGGCUGAGGUGGGAGGAUCGCUUGAGCCCAGGAGUUUGAGACCAGCCUGGGCAACAUAACAAGACUCUAUCUCUACAAAAAAUAAACGAGCCAUGCAUGGUGGCACGUAUUUGUAGUUCCAGCUACUUGGGAGUCUGAGAUAGGAGGAUCAUUUGAGCCCAGGAGUUUGAGGCUGCAGUGAGCCAUGAUUUUGCCAGUGUACUUCAGCCUGGGCAACAGAGCGAUAUCCUGUCUCAAAAUAAAUAAAAAUAAAAUGGUGGUAAUUUCUGAAGCAGUUUGGAUAAUUUUCUUUUAUGGUGGUGUUAUGAAGAAAACAAAUACUGCAAUAAGAGCAGUAUAUUUCACACUUUAUGGACAGGUGCUAGGCAUGGUGGCUCACACCUGUAAUCUCAGCUACUUGGGAGGCUGAGGCAGAAGGAUCACUUGGGGAUAGGAGUUUGAGGUUGCAGUCAGCUAUGACUGUGCCACUGCACUCCAGCCUGGGCGACAGAGCAAGACCCCGUCUCUAAAUAAAUAAAUCCUUUUUUUUUUUUUUUUUUUUUUGAGACGGAGUCUCGCUCUGUCGCCCAGGCUGGAGUUCAGUGGCCGGACCUCAGCUCACUGCAGCCUCCGCCUCCCGGGUUUACGCCAUUCUCCUGCCUCAGCCUCCCGAGUAGGUGGGACUACAGGCACCCGCCACCUCGCCCGGCUAGUUUUUUUUUGUAUUUUUUUAGUAGAGACAGGGUUUCACCGUGUUAGCCAGGAUGGUCUCGAUCUCCUGACCUCGUGAUCCGUCCGUCUCAGCCUCCCAAAGUGCUGGGAUUACAGGCUUGAGCCACCGCGCCCGGCUAAAUAAAUAAAUAUUUUAAAAAUAAGUGUUUUGGACAAAACCCCAUAUUAAUAAUAAGUAUUUUACGUCAUUAUUUGGCAUAGACUGUUAUAUAUAGCAUAUUACUGUUGAAAUAUAAAACAAUAUGUAUCCGUACUGUAUGUGAUACAGUGCCAUUUUCAGUAACUGCUGUACACACAGCAACUCAGAUGAAACUCAAGGAAAUUCUUCGGAGCAAAACCAGCCAAUCUUGAAAACAUACAUGUAGCAGGAUUCCAUUUAUGUAACAUUGAUGAAAUAAUGUAAUUACAGAGAUGGAAAACAGAUUAAAGGUUACCAGGGGUUAGGUUAGGGAUGGUGGGGGGGUGGUUCACAUAAGGGAGUCCUGUGGUGUUGAAAACCAUCUGUCAGCCUGACUGAUGGUUACACAGGGCUAUACAUGAAGUCAAAAUUGUGUAGAGUUAGGUACACAAAGGAGUACAGAUAUAACUGGGAAACUGAGUAUGUUCUGUAGACUGUACCAAUGUCAGUUUUUGGCUCCUGAUGUUAACAUUGGGGGAGGCUGGGGCAAGGGUACGCAGCACCUCCCUAGACAACCUCCUAUGCAACCUCCUGUGAAUCUAUAAUUACUUCAAAAUAAAAA
RNAcentral lists this long non-coding RNA (3977 nucleotides) under Macaca mulatta (Rhesus monkey). RNAcentral's name for it is "lncRNA (ENSMMUG00000044346.2)". Lineage: Eukaryota; Metazoa; Chordata; Mammalia; Primates; Cercopithecidae. The record is from RNAcentral.